ACGCUCGACACCUACGGAGGCAGCAGUUGGGAAUAUUGGACAAUGGAGGAAACUCUGAUCCAGUGACGCCGCGUGAAGGAAGAAGGUCUUCGGAUUGUAAACUUAUUUUGUCAGGGAAGAAAAAUGACUGUACCUGAAGAAAAAGCACCGGCUAACUACGUGCCANAGCCGCGGUAAUCUGAGCGGGCUGGCAAGGC
This 197-nucleotide ribosomal RNA is filed under the name uncultured bacterium. Its description in RNAcentral is "partial 16S ribosomal RNA". It matches the Rfam family "Bacterial small subunit ribosomal RNA", at positions 328 to 539 of the family's 1533-position model. The record is from RNAcentral.